Molecule: ribosomal RNA, 550 nt
Filed under: uncultured bacterium
Lineage: Bacteria
Description: bacterial SSU rRNA
Rfam family: Bacterial small subunit ribosomal RNA
Source: RNAcentral
UGGGGAAUAUUGGACAAUGGGGGAAACCCUGAUCCAGCCAUGCCGCGUGUGUGAAGAAGGCCUUCGGGUUGUAAAGCACUUUAAGCGAGGAGGAAGGGUUCUUAAUUAAUACUUGAGAGCAUUGACGUUACUCGCAGAAUAAGCACCGGCUAACUCUGUGCCAGCAGCCGCGGUAAUACAGAGGGUGCGAGCGUUAAUCGGAAUUACUGGGCGUAAAGGGUGCGCAGGCGGCCCCGCAAGUCAGGCGUGAAAUCCCCGAGCUCAACUUGGGAAUGGCGCUUGAAACUACGGGGCUGGAGUGUGGCAGAGGGAGGUGGAAUUCCACGUGUAGCGGUGAAAUGCGUAGAUAUGUGGAGGAACACCGAUGGCGAAGGCAGCCUCCUGGGCCAACACUGACGCUCAUGCACGAAAGCGUGGGGAGCAAACAGGAUUAGAUACCCUGGUAGUCCAUGCCGUAAACGUUGGGUGCUAGACGUCGGGGGUAUUGACCCCUCCGGUGUCGAAGCUAACGCAUUAAGCACCCCGCCUGGGGAGUACGGCCGCAAGGCUA